AACGAACGCUGGCGGCAUGCCUAACACAUGCAAGUCGAACGAGACCUUCGGGUCUAGUGGCGCACGGGUGCGUAACGCGUGGGAACCUGCCCUUAGGUUCGGAAUAAAUCCCCGAAAGGGGUGCUAAUACCGGAUAAUGUCUUCGGACCAAAGAUUUAUCGCCUUUGGAUGGGCCCGCGUUGGAUUAGCUAGUUGGUAGGGUAAAAGCCUACCAAGGCGACGAUCCAUAGCUGGUCUGAGAGGGUGAUCAGCCACACUGGGACUGAGACACGGCCCAGACUCCUACGGGAGGCAGCAGUGGGGAAUAUUGGACAAUGGGCGAAAGCCUGAUCCAGCAAUGCCGCGUGAGUGAUGAAGGCCUUAGGGUUGUAAAGCUCUUUUACCCGGGAUGAUAAUGACAGUACCGGGAGAAUAAGCUCCGGCUAACUCCGUG
RNAcentral lists this ribosomal RNA (433 nucleotides) under uncultured bacterium. Its description in RNAcentral is "partial 16S ribosomal RNA". It matches the Rfam family "Bacterial small subunit ribosomal RNA", at positions 29 to 507 of the family's 1533-position model. The record is from RNAcentral.